AACGAACGCUGGCGGCAGGCCUAACACAUGCAAGUCGAGCGGACCCUUCGGGGUUAGCGGCGGACGGGUGAGUAACGCGUGGGAAUAUGCCCUUCUCUACGGAAUAGUCCUGGGAAACUGGGGGUAAUACCGUAUACGCCCUUUGGGGGAAAGAUUUAUCGGGGAAGGAUUAGCCCGCGUUGGAUUAGGUAGUUGGUGGGGUAAUGGCCUACCAAGCCGACGAUCCAUAGCUGGUUUGAGAGGAUGAUCAGCCACACUGGGACUGAGACACGGCCCAGACUCCUACGGGAGGCAGCAGUGGGGAAUCUUAGACAAUGGGGGGAACCCUGAUCGAGCCAUGCCGCGUGAGUGAUGAAGGCCAUAGGGUUGUAAAGCUCUUUCAGCUGGGAAGAUAAUGACGGUACCAGCAGAAGAAGCACCGGCUAACUCCGUG
RNAcentral lists this ribosomal RNA (433 nucleotides) under uncultured bacterium. RNAcentral's name for it is "partial 16S ribosomal RNA". It matches the Rfam family "Bacterial small subunit ribosomal RNA", at positions 29 to 507 of the family's 1533-position model. The record is from RNAcentral.